This 336-nucleotide unclassified non-coding RNA is filed under the name uncultured fungus. RNAcentral's name for it is "partial contains small subunit ribosomal RNA, internal transcribed spacer 1, and 5.8S ribosomal RNA". The stretch from base 1 to 73 matches the Rfam family "Eukaryotic small subunit ribosomal RNA", at positions 1759 to 1831 of the family's 1831-position model. Lineage: Eukaryota; Fungi. The record is from RNAcentral.
UCAAACUUGGUCAUUUAGAGGAAGUAAAAGUCGUAACAAGGUUUCCGUAGGUGAACCUGCGGAAGGAUCAUUAACGAAACGUUUGUCGAGAAGGGUUGUCGCUGGCCUCUAGGGGCAUGUGCACACCUGGAUCGCAUCCACACCUCACACCUGUGCACCAACUGUAGCUUGGGAUGAUUACGGGGCCCCGCGAGGGGUCACGAAUGCCCUCGUCUACGAUUUUUCACACACGCCCUGAAGUAACAGAGAAUGUAUAUCGAACCGCGUCUGAUAAACGCGACAAAUACAACUUUCAACAACGGAUCUCUUGGCUCUCGCAUCGAUGAAGAACGCAGC